Molecule: ribosomal RNA, 476 nt
Filed under: uncultured bacterium
Lineage: Bacteria
Description: bacterial SSU rRNA
Rfam family: Bacterial small subunit ribosomal RNA
Source: RNAcentral
AGGACGACGCUGGCGGCGUGCCUAACACAUGCAAGUCGAGCGGGGUUGAGGCGAGAGGUAACUCGAACUUCUACCUAGCGGCGGACGGGUGAGUAACGCGUGGGCAACCUGCCUCAAGGUUUGGGAUAACAGCCCGAAAGGGCUGCUAAUACCGGAUAUGCCUAUGGCCUCGCAUGGGGCUAUGAGCAAAGGGGAAACCCGCCUUGAGAUGGGCCCGCGUCCCAUCAGCUAGUUGGUGAGGUAACAGCUCACCAAGGCGACGACGGGUAGCCGGCCUGAGAGGGUGACCGGCCACACUGGGACUGAGACACGGCCCAGACUCCUACGGGGGGCAGCAGUGGGGGAUCUUGCACAAUGGGCGAAAGCCUGAUGCAGCGACGCCGCGUGAGCGAAGAAGGCCUUCGGGUUGUAAAGCUCUGUCUGGAGGGACGAACAAAAUGACGGUACCUCCGGAGGAAGCCACGGCUAACUACGUG